RNAcentral lists this ribosomal RNA (456 nucleotides) under uncultured bacterium. Its description in RNAcentral is "bacterial SSU rRNA". It matches the Rfam family "Bacterial small subunit ribosomal RNA", at positions 29 to 530 of the family's 1533-position model. The record is from RNAcentral.
AACGAACGCUGGCGGCAGGCUUAACACAUGCAAGUCGAACGCCCCGCAAGGGGAGUGGCAGACGGGUGAGUAACACGUGGGAACAUGCCCAAAGGUACGGAAUAUUCUCGGGAAACUGGGAGCAAUACCGUAUGUGCCCGAAAGGGGAAAGAUUUAUCGCCUUUGGAUUGGCCCGCGUUGGAUUAGCUAGUUGGUGGGGUAAAAGCCUACCAAGGCGACGAUCCAUAGCUGGACUGAGAGGACGACCAGCCACACUGGGACUGAGACACGGCCCAGACUCCUACGGGAGGCAGCAGUGGGGAAUCUUGGACAAUGGGCGCAAGCCUGAUCCAGCCAUGCCGCGUGAGUGAUGAAGGCCCUAGGGUUGUAAAAACUCUUUCGUGGGGGACGAUAAUGACGGUACCCCAAGAAGAAGCUCCGGCUAACUUCGUGCCAGCAGCCGCGGUAAAGUCGAUA